Myodes glareolus (Bank vole) is the source of this 2270-nucleotide non-coding RNA. The record is from RefSeq and is a predicted model, not a curated record. Lineage: Eukaryota; Metazoa; Chordata; Mammalia; Rodentia; Cricetidae.
UCCUGGGGAAAGACAUGGGGUGGGAGGGUGUCUAGGGGGUGAUGGAAUGUCAGGCUCUCUGCCUGUGAUCCUGGCUACAAAGUGAGGCCUGGCUGGGCCAAGGGUGGUCGGUGGCUAGGCCAAAGCUAAGCCUCAAGCCUCUGACCUAGGAGCACCUGAGUCUUCGGAGGUACCGCGGGAACCGAACCGUGUUUGUGUCUAGGUAGAAGAGGACCACCUGCCUAAGGGCAACACAGCCCACACAGAGCUGGGCCCUUUCACAUCAAUCAACCAUCAAUCAAGAACAUGCUCCCUCGACAAACAGCCAAGAGCAGGCUGAUGGAGACAGUCCUUCAAGUAGUGCACAGCGCGUUCUUCCCAGCUGUGGUGGCCCCGGUCUCCAGUCAUGUCAAGAAGGGAUUCAGAAGAAUGGAUGCUCAGAAGAAGAAGGAAAUCAAGUGGCUCGACGUGAAGCCAGGACCUUUGAGUUACCCUGCGUCGCUUCCUGCCUGGGUAACCUGGAAGGAAGGUCAGGGUACAUCUCUAGACCCCAGCAUUCUUAUCUGUGAACUGGGGGCUGUAUUCCACCUUAGAGAGUUGUCAGGAUCAGCAUACGCAUGAGCAGGGAAUGUGUCCAGAGGGUGCGCUAAGCCUUGGAACGGUGGUUUCUGUGGGGAGGGGUCCUGGGGGGAGGAGUUGGGCCACACUACUCAAUGGUACAAGAAGGUGCACUGGAGUCUCCAAGGAAACAGCCAAUAGCCCGAGGGCCUGAGCUCACCCAGAAGCUGGCAAGAUCAAGGGCAAGUUCCUCUGUGUCCAGGAUGCCUAGCCCCUCUCAACCUCAUUUACCCAGGCAGGUGUGUGGCUGCUUAAGGCCUGGAGCCUGUGGACCCAGCAGAAGUGACGGGGCAGAUGCGAUGGUCCCUGCGGGAGAGGCUUUACCUGCUUGUUCUUAGGACCCAUGCGCAAGUCCUUACACCCGGGUUCUCUGAGCUCCACCCCCUCCAGCUCUCAGAGAAGCCAGAGCAAAAGGGAGAGGUUAAGUGUGAGUUUCUUGGAGACGAAAAGAAUAGACAGGAGAGAAACACCAAGGACGGAGAUUUGGCAUCCAGGGCUUCUUGUGUUCCUUAAAGACAAACGCCAUGCUUCUCCUUUCCCCAGUGCCUUGCUUGACUCAACGGACGAACUCUGUGCGAGGCACCAAAGUGCCGAGUGUCAGGGAACCCCCAAGAGGAAGGUGAAGAGACCUUGACUCCUACUCCCAUCUGGCACAAGGCCAUUUGAUGACCAUAGUCAUGAUGCUGUAGAGGUUGGGACAGAGUGGGGGUGGGAUGGGGGUGCUGGAUGGGGAAGAAGGGCUUAGGGAAGGUGGUGCUCAACAGAAUCCAGUGGAAGAACGAUGCCCCAGGUUGGCUGUGCUGGCAGCAGCCCAGCUCAACUCAAGUUCAGUUUAAAAAAAAAUCACUGUCAAACUGCUGGAGGGGAAGGAGUGUGUGAGGCAAGGUUUCUACCUUCCUGUUGCCACACACAGCUCCCAAACUAGUAAACUUGUGGUUGUCACGGAGCAUGGCCCAGGUAGCUCACACAUCAGCACCAGGUCCUUGCUCUGACUGCCUGAAUCACUAAAGGGGCCUCAGGGGAGACAGGAAGCUAAGAAUGAAGAGCUAUAGAGUCUCAGGGACAUUCAUCUUUUCUUACUUUCUUUCCUAUUUCUGUUUGUUUUGUUCUGUCGGGCUCUGAUUUUGUAGGCACUUGGAGUGGCCGGCCACUCACCCUAUAACCCAAGAUGGAAGACUUGAGACUUCACUGACUCAAUCACCUGGGCUCUGGAGUUAAAAGCGUGCAUUAUCACACUUGACAACCUUCAUCUUUUUUGCACCUUAGUUUUCUGGUCUAGAAAGAGAACGGUUUGGAUAGGGAUGCAUAUCAGCCAGAAGAAUGCCUUCCUCGCAUAAGUGAAGCUCCGGGAUUGAGUCCCAGCGUUGCAUCCAACGGAGCAUGGUGACGCACUGGCAUUAAUCUCAGCACCUGGGAGAUGGAAGAGGGAGGAUCCAAACUGCAAAGCUCUCCUUGCCUAGCUAAUGACUCUGAGACCACCCUGUGCCCACAAACCAGAAUCAGAAAGAGAGAGGACCAGUGGGGUGGCUCAGCAGGUAACUAAGCCUGGGAACCUGUGCUUGCUUCCAGGCCCCACGUGGUAGAAGGGAGACCCGACUCUUACAAAUUGUCCUCUGCGCAUGCGUCAUUUGUACCUGUGCACCCAUGAAAUAAAUUAAGUGUAGCUAGAAAUA